GGCGAUAUGGCCGAGCGGUCUAAGGCGCCAGAAUCAGGUCGUGUCCUAUCUGGUCCGAAAGGGCGUGGGUUCGAAUCCCACUGUCGUCA
Molecule: transfer RNA, 89 nt
Filed under: Dentipellis sp. KUC8613
Lineage: Eukaryota; Fungi; Basidiomycota; Agaricomycetes; Russulales; Hericiaceae
Rfam family: tRNA
About the family: Transfer RNA (tRNA) molecules are approximately 80 nucleotides in length. Their secondary structure includes four short double-helical elements and three loops (D, anti-codon, and T loops). Further hydrogen bonds mediate the characteristic L-shaped molecular structure. tRNAs have two regions of fundamental functional importance: the anti-codon, which is responsible for specific mRNA codon recognition, and the 3' end, to which the tRNAs corresponding amino acid is attached (by aminoacyl-tRNA synthetases). tRNAs cope with the degeneracy of the genetic code in two manners: having more than one tRNA (with a specific anti-codon) for a particular amino acid; and 'wobble' base-pairing, i.e. permitting non-standard base-pairing at the 3rd anti-codon position.
Source: Rfam by way of RNAcentral